Molecule: long non-coding RNA, 4196 nt
Filed under: Brassica napus (rape)
Lineage: Eukaryota; Viridiplantae; Streptophyta; Magnoliopsida; Brassicales; Brassicaceae
Description: long non-coding RNA (BNAP_LNC007434)
Source: RNAcentral
AACUUCAGCUUCUUCUCCAACGAAACGGAGUCCUACUUCACUUACUCCCUCUACAACCACGCGAACGUCUCGAGAUUCGCCAUGGACGUCUCGGGACAGAUCAAGCAGUUCACUUGGCUGAACAACAACAACCAGUGGAACCUGUUCUGGUCUCAGCCUCGGCAACAAUGCCAAGUGUAUGCUUACUGUGGCUCCUUUGGGAUUUGCAACGACAAGUCCCAGCCUUUUUGCCAGUGCCCUCGUGGGUUUAGGCCCGCGUCGCAAAAAGACUGGGACUUGAAGGAUUACUCUGCGGGCUGCGUCAGAAGCACUGAGCUACAGUGCUCUCGCGGAGUGAUCAACGAGUUUCUGCCUCUUACCAACGUGAAGUUACCUGACAACAACUCAGAGGGGCUACUGGGAUCAACGAGCUGCAGAUCAGCUUGUCUAGGGAACUGUUCUUGUAUGGCUUACGCACAUGAGGAAACCUCGAACCGAUGCUUGAUGUGGAGUAAAGAUGUCUUGAAUCUUCAACAACUCGAGGAAGAUAACAGCGAGGGGAAUACACUUUAUCUUAGACUCUCUGCUUCCGACAUCCCUCGUAAUUCUCCUUCCGGUAAGAGUAACAAAGUGAUGAUAAUCGGCGCGGUUCUAGGCUCGUUAGGGGUGGUAGCUCUUGUUUUGUUGGCUGUCAUCUUAAUCUUGAGGAGCCUUAGGAUGAAGAGAAUGAGAGGAGAGAAGAGUGAUGGUACAUUGGCUGCGUUUAGCUAUAGAGAGUUACAGAACGCGACUAAGAACUUCUCGGAGAAGCUAGGAGGAGGAGGUUUCGGCUCGGUGUUCAAAGGAGCUUUACAAGAUUCUAGCGUCAUUGCGGUGAAGAGGCUUGAGGGUAUUAGCCAAGGAGAGAAGCAGUUUCGGACGGAAGUUGUCACAAUAGGAACAAUCCAGCACAUGAACCUAGUGAGGCUUCGCGGGUUUUGCUCUGAAGGAAACAAGAAACUGCUUGUGUAUGAUUACAUGCCUAACGGUUCUUUGGAUUCUCAUCUUUUCAUCAGCCAAGCCGGAGAAGAGAAGACCGUCCUCGGGUGGAAACUGCGGUACCAAAUCGCGCUAGGGACAGCUAGAGGAUUGGCUUACUUGCACGACGAAUGUAGAGACUGUAUCAUUCACUGCGACAUAAAACCCGAAAACAUCUUGUUAGAUUCGCAGUUCGGUCCCAAAGUUGCUGAUUUCGGCUUGGCGAAGCUCGUGGGCCGAGAUUUCAGCAGGGUUCUGACGACAAUGAGAGGCACGAGAGGCUACCUUGCACCGGAAUGGAUCUCCGGAGUGGCGAUAACAGCGAAAGCCGAUGUUUACAGCUACGGGAUGAUGCUGUUCGAGAUUGUUUCGGGGAGAAGAAACACUGAGCAGUCAGAGAACGGGAAGGUCAGGUUCUUUCCUAGUGUGGCUGCGACUGUGCUCACCAAAGAUGAAGACAUCCGCUCUCUGCUUGACCCGAGACUAGAAGGCGAGUCCGUGGAUACGGAGGAGCUGGCGAGAGCUUGUAAAGUGGCGUGCUGGUGCAUACAGGACGAGGAGAGUCAUAGACCAGCGAUGAGUCAAGUUGUUCAGAUUCUUGAAGGUGUUUUGGAAGUGAAUACGCCGCCGUUUCCGAGAUCGAUCCAAGCUCUAGUUGAAAACGAUGGAUCUGUUGUCUUCUUCACUGAGUCUUCAUCUUCCUCAAGCCAUAAUUCUUCACAGAAACAGAACCAUUCUUCUUCUUCUUCUUCUUCCAAGAAGACGACCAACAACAACUCUUCGGCUUAGUUUAGUAUUAUUGUAAACGCAUUGUGUUAUGAAUUGUGUAAUAUUGACUAUAUGUUUUAAUUAGUUGUAAAAGGAAUCACUUAAUUUUCUUCCGUUGUAUAAUUAUUUCUUUGUUGCAGAUUUAUGUAAACUUUUAUUUUCUUAAACCUCAUCAUUCUACAGAGCAUUAUAUCGUCAUCAUUUCCAUUAGAACCAUUACAUUCACGACCUUAUAUGAUGACUUGAGGACUGUUAACAUCAUAUCGCUGUUGUUACAUGUUAAUCAAAACUUUGAUUAGUGUUUGUUUUCGAAUUAAAUCAUUGGAUUACAAUCACCACAAGUAAGGCCAGCUUUGUAUUAUAUGAAUCAUGUGAUGAUACUAUGAUGUUGAAACCUUAAUCAUGUCAUUUGAUAAUUUAUAAUUUUUUCUUGGCAUGGUUUUUUUUGUAUGAGAUUUUGUUUACUAUAAGGUCAGUGAGUAAGAACUUAAGAUCUUAAUCUAUGUCCAUUGAUAAUGCUUUAAAACAAGUAGGUGUAGUUCUGUUUUUGAUAAAUAGAGAAACCAAGAGUUUACUUAUAAUUUGAGAAUCGAUGAAAGUAUUGCUCGUCAUAUAGAUGUUGAUCCUAUAUUUCCAAGUAAGUGUGUAGUUUCUUUAGGAAAAAACAGUUUGAUAGAACUGAGUUAGGUGAAAAAGUACUAGCAUGUGAAGAUGGAUUUGUAAUUAAUCUUUUUAGGUGUGGUGGACACGUUAAGAUCAUAUUUGAUCAAAUGGUGAAUUUUAAAAGUGUUAUUGGGUUUUUAUUUGAUUUGAGAAAAUUAAAUGCAUUAGAUGAAAUGAAAGUGAGCUACAAGAAAAUUAUACUGAUUUUUACAAAGCAACUCUCUCAGUUUCGGAAGUUGUCUUGAAACAACGCAGUGACACACACACACUCUCUUGUCUUCCCUUCUGUGUCUUGUGUUAUCGUUCACACUUCACAGAUUCUUCUUGUAAUAGUCCCACGAGAAAAUUCACAGUAGGUCCCAUAGAGUUAAUGCACUCCAAAGACAAAAUGUGCCCUAUAGGGUAAUGCACUCCAUCAUAUUCUUGUAACUUGUUUGACUUUUCUACACUAACCAACCAAUCACACAAAAAAAAACAAACAAUUUUUUUUCUUUCUGUUCUUUCUGAUUAUUAUUUUUCUUAGACCAUGAUUAAUUCAGAGUUCUUAAAAUGGUUCUUAGCGAAAGUUAAGAAACAGUUUUUUUUAUUUUCGCUAAAAACUUCAUUCUAAAAAUUCCGGAUUAAUCAUCCUCUUACAAUUUUCUAUUGACAAACUAAACCUAACGACUAGUCAAACUAAACCUCAUCACGACUUAGUCAACUAGCACGACCGUAGACUUAUAAAUAUUUUUAGCUUUAUAAAAAAAAUGCACACUCUUCAUAUGAUCUCUCUCCCCUUACCUCUAACGCUAAUAAGCUUUUGUCAUGGUUUCGUUCUUCUGCGUCCUCUUUACCUUCUUCUUCCUCUGCACCCAUGUCUCUUCCGCGGAUACAAUCUCCGCUGACUUCACUCUCUCCGGAGACCAGACAAUCUCAUCCUCCCGCGGAACUUUCAAAAUGGGUUUCUUCCAACCUGCUACUUCUUCAAACUUCUACGUAGGUAUGUGGUACCAGCAACUUCCUCAACAAACUAUCGUCUGGGUAGCUAACCGAGACAAACCAGUCUCCGACAAGAAAACAUCACUUCUCAAAAUCUCCAACGGUAACUUAGUUCUACUCGACGGAAACAACCAGACUCCAGUUUGGUCGACCGGUCUCAACUCUUCCUCUGCUCACGACGCCGUUUUGCAAGACGACGGCAAUCUCGUUCUCAGAGACGAGUCCGGCUCUCUUCUAUGGCAAAGCUUCGAUCAUCCCGGUGACACGUGGCUUCCCGGUGUCAAAAUCCGGUACGACAAACGAACCAAGAAAAGUCAACGUCUCACGUCGUGGACGAGUGUUGAAGACCCAUCACCAGGUUUGUUCUCUCUGGAGCUAGACGAGUCAACAGCUUACAAGAUCCUCUGGAACGGGUCGACUCAGUACUGGUCGAGUGGUCCUUGGAACCCUCAGAGCAAGCUCUUCGAUUCAGUCCCAGAGAUGAGACUCAACUACAUCUUCAACUACAGCUUUUUCUCCAACGCAACAGAGUCAUACUUCACUUACUCCAUCUAUAACACGGCCAACAUCUCACGACUCGUCAUGGACGUUUCGGGACAGAUUAGGCAGUCCAGUUGGUUAAACAACAACAACCAGUGGAACCUGUUCUGGUCUCAGCCUCGGCAGCAAUGCCUAGUCUACUCUUACUGUGGCUCCUUUGGGAUUUGCAGUAGCAAGUCUCAGCCUUUUUGCCAAUGCCCUCGUGGGUUUAGACCCAAGUCGCAAAAAGAUUGGGACUUGAAGGAUUACUC